Trifolium pratense (red clover) is the source of this 1336-nucleotide long non-coding RNA. RefSeq lists it as uncharacterized. The record is from RefSeq and is a predicted model, not a curated record. The transcript is spliced from 2 exons. Lineage: Eukaryota; Viridiplantae; Streptophyta; Magnoliopsida; Fabales; Fabaceae.
AAAGUGGGUGGUGGGAUGAGAAAUUUUCGUGACUUUGGCUACCCACUGCAUAGGGCCUCAAAAUAUAGGGUCUCAAAACAAAAUUUAAGAGAGCUACUUUUGCCACCCUACGGGUUACUCGCGCACUCUAUUUUUAUACAUUCGCGACUUAAGUAGCGGAUAUGUAAAAAUAGGGCGUUUUGGGAAGAAAAAAAGCCGUCUACUACCUAAGUCGCGGACAGUGUUUGAGUAACCAGUAGGACGGCAAAAGUAACUCCCAAAAUUUAAAUAGCUAGUGUUGAUGAUAUUAGAAAUUGGGGGUACAAAAUAUAAUAUUUUUUAUUUAUUUAUUUUAAUUCUAAUUGUUAAUUAUCUUUUAAUUCUAUUUAACGGUUCAAUUUAAAUAUGUUUAUUUCGUUCGAUUUCAAAUCUGUAAAAUUGAUAAUAAAAAAAAUACUGAGAAAUUUCAAAUUCUAUUUAUUUCCUUUCUUCUUUAUACUAGAAGUGUUAGAAAAGUGAUUGUUUUUCAUCACAGUAUCCGGUCCACUGGACUGUCUAAUCUGGUUUGAAGGUCGGUUCUAGCAUCAAGUGAUUCCAGCCACCUCCCGAUCGCAGUUGCGGGAAUCAAAAUAUGGUUCUCUCUACCAAGUCCAACGUCAAUCACCACUAAACCAACUAACGAUUGGUAAAAUUGACCUUUUUUAUUUAUUUUCACCACCAGUAUUCGGCCCACUUGACCGUCUAAUCUGGUUCGGGGGUAAGUUCUGGCAUUAAGUAGUUCAAGCCCCUUCCUAUUUGCAGUUGCAAUAAAUCCAACUGUAGUCAUCCCUAAAAAGUCCAACACCAAAAUUGACUUCUUUUUUUUUUACAACAUUUUUCCCUACAUUAAAUAAUGUUGAUUUUCCUUUGUCCAUUAUGAAAUGCCAAAUAAAAAAAAAAUUAAAAAAAUUAUGUGCAAUAUACUCUAAGGUCAAGUGGUGACUUACAUGAGUUAAAGGGACAAAUAUUAUACAUCAAUUUAAUUUUGAGACAUUUAAAGGGACAAAUAUUCUAACAUAGCACAAGAGUUUUUACUAUAUAAAGUAGCAAUUAAUCCAUUUAACAAAUAUUCUACAUGCAACGAUGAAAAAAAUGACUAAAAUUCUCAAGUUUGUUUAUACUAUAACCUUCUUUGUUUCCCUAUUUCUCGUUGUAGUAAACGUUGGUGGUGGAAAGUGUAUUUCAGACGUGCAUUGUAUGUAUCUUUCAUGUCGGUCUAGUCAAAUUAAGCAUUGUCUUCAAAGUGAAUGCUACUGUAUUAAUCGUGUUAAUGAAAAAGUUGUUUUCUAUUAUGCCUAAUUUUAAUUUUCUUUGCUCA